AUUGACAUCACGCUAAAAGUCACCUCAUUUUCCAAUAAUGGAUUGAAUCGAAUCGUAGUGUCAUUGAAUUCGUUGUGUUUGGCGUUUUUUCUAUAUUAAGCAGUUCAUAGAUUCUUAAAUAGAUAUCGUAUACACGAUUUCUGUCAGUGACCAGUGUCAGUUUCAUAGGUAAGUGAAAAAUGCAAUGCCAUUCAUUUGCAUCCUUGAUAUGUAUUAAGUAGUUUUAGUUUAUCACUCUAGUGGAAAAUCAUUAUGUUGAUCGUAAAGAAAAUUAGUAGUAAUGAAAGUUUAUUGGCUGGAUAUUCAUUCAAUGAUUAGUUAUUUAUGUUCCAUAAUAGCGCAUACUUAAAGCGCCAUUACAUCUUAUUGUAGGUAAAUAAUGAAUUAGUUUUCUAAAGUUGUUUUAAUUUUUGAAUUCGCUAGAUGAUAAUAUUUGUUAUGAGUUAAAUGUUUCGGUGUUUUCAUCCAUGCUUACGAUGUUCCACAGGUGGAAUAUACCUAGGUUAGAUACACUUCGGUCUACGCGUGUUCACUAAAAACUUAUUAACUGUACCUUGAUGACUAUUAUUUAACACAUACAAUACCGGUAGACAGCUUGAUUAACUAAAAACAAGCAAGGAUUAUUUUUUCUUAACUAUAGAUUCCACAAGCAAGUUUGUCUUUCUGAGCGCCAAGCACGAAUAACUAUCGCAUUCGUAAUGUAAACGUAUCGAGAUGACGAUACGUCAUGAGACGUUAACGGAGUGUGGCAGCACGAAGCCUAUUCUUUCAACUAUCGAGAGCUCGCAUCGAAUUCGAUAGUGACGUCAUGCUAAUGUAAACUAGAGAAGCAGCCAAGUGAACGAUUUGAAUGACUUAUUGAGCAUAAAGAUUUCGUCUGAAAACUAAAUUAAAUUUAUAUAUAUAUUUCAACCUUUGUCUACACGUUUUAUGCAAUAAUAUUUAUUAAAUAAAUAUUAAUUAUGUGCAAAAAGUUCUUAAAGCGAGUUAAGAGAAAUAUAACGUGACAUUAUCUAUGAAAAAAAAAUGAGUACUUAGUUUCAUUUUAUAAAUUGUUUUAUGAUUUCCGAACGUCGUAUUUGACAUUUGUCAUUUGCCGGUUGUUUGUUUGUUAUUUUAUCUUAUGUAAAUAAAUAACAAUUUUAACAUGUUACAUUUAAAAUGAGGACGAUUCAACUCCAAUAUGAGCUAAUGGUGGAAUUUAUGCAAAAAUUGGAAUAUUUGUGGGACCAGUCCAAUAUUACUGGGAGCAGUGGGCCUACUGUAUUCCUACCACACCACUCACUGUUCCUCACGAAGCCUACCCUUCGCCAGCGCCUCCACCAACACCACCGAUCCUCCAUCAGAGGAAGAUAGCUGGAAUCCUCCACCAGUGAAAAAACCUAAAGCGAGUUUGAUUAAAAUGUGUAUAGAGAAUGACAAGAAUACUAUGCUAGGGAGCGUGAGAAAAGUUAUUAUUUUUUAUUAGUUGAUUAUUUUUUGUUACUUACUGUUAAUUUUAUAUUUAUUUCAAUUUUUCUGUUUUUAUGUUAUUUUAAAAUAUUAUCAAAAUAUUGUUAAUGGCAUUGUAUUUAUAAUAAUUAUUCUAACUGUGUCAAUACUGUGAAUGUGGUGCAUGUCUAUAAUUGGCAUAACCACAUGAUCUUGUGUCUUCAUCUUGUUUUUCAUUAAUGUCUUAUAAUAAUAAAUAAAUAAAUUAUAUAUUAUUGGGAUUAAGAUUAGAAUAAAAUAGUUUUUAAGUUAUUUAUAUAUGUAUAUACAUUUUAUUAACUAUAAAAAGAGGAUUUUGUAGAAAAAAGUAAUAAAACACUUGAAAUAACUA
Molecule: long non-coding RNA, 1822 nt
Organism: Spodoptera frugiperda (fall armyworm)
Lineage: Eukaryota; Metazoa; Arthropoda; Insecta; Lepidoptera; Noctuidae
Exons: 2
Source: RefSeq, a predicted model, not a curated record